RNAcentral lists this ribosomal RNA (1076 nucleotides) under Staphylococcus aureus. Its description in RNAcentral is "partial 23S ribosomal RNA". It matches the Rfam family "Bacterial large subunit ribosomal RNA", at positions 368 to 1452 of the family's 2925-position model. Lineage: Bacteria; Bacillati; Bacillota; Bacilli; Caryophanales; Staphylococcaceae. The record is from RNAcentral.
UAAUCCUGUAGUCGAAAAUGUUGUCUCUCUUGAGUGGAUCCUGAGUACGACGGAGCACGUGAAAUUCCGUCGGAAUCUGGGAGGACCAUCUCCUAAGGCUAAAUACUCUCUAGUGACCGAUAGUGAACCAGUACCGUGAGGGAAAGGUGAAAAGCACCCCGGAAGGGGAGUGAAAUAGAACCUGAAACCGUGUGCUUACAAGUAGUCAGAGCCCGUUAAUGGGUGAUGGCGUGCCUUUUGUAGAAUGAACCGGCGAGUUACGAUUUGAUGCAAGGUUAAGCAGUAAAUGUGGAGCCGUAGCGAAAGCGAGUCUGAAUAGGGCGUUUAGUAUUUGGUCGUAGACCCGAAACCAGGUGAUCUACCCUUGGUCAGGUUGAAGUUCAGGUAACACUGAAUGGAGGACCGAACCGACUUACGUUGAAAAGUGAGCGGAUGAACUGAGGGUAGCGGAGAAAUUCCAAUCGAACCUGGAGAUAGCUGGUUCUCUCCGAAAUAGCUUUAGGGCUAGCCUCAAGUGAUGAUUAUUGGAGGUAGAGCACUGUUUGGACGAGGGGCCCCUCUCGGGUUACCGAAUUCAGACAAACUCCGAAUGCCAAUUAAUUUAACUUGGGAGUCAGAACAUGGGUGAUAAGGUCCGUGUUCGAAAGGGAAACAGCCCAGACCACCAGCUAAGGUCCCAAAAUAUAUGUUAAGUGGAAAAGGAUGUGGCGUUGCCCAGACAACUAGGAUGUUGGCUUAGAAGCAGCCAUCAUUUAAAGAGUGCGUAAUAGCUCACUAGUCGAGUGACACUGCGCCGAAAAUGUACCGGGGCUAAACAUAUUACCGAAGCUGUGGAUUGUCCUUUGGACAAUGGUAGGAGAGCGUUCUAAGGGCGUUGAAGCAUGAUCGUAAGGACAUGUGGAGCGCUUAGAAGUGAGAAUGCCGGUGUGAGUAGCGAAAGACGGGUGAGAAUCCCGUCCACCGAUUGACUAAGGUUUCCAGAGGAAGGCUCGUCCGCUCUGGGUUAGUCGGGUCCUAAGCUGAGGCCGACAGGCGUAGGCGAUGGAUAACAGGUUGAUAUUCCUGUACCACCUAUA